Molecule: ribosomal RNA, 298 nt
Filed under: Glaciecola sp. FRA000009
Lineage: Bacteria; Pseudomonadati; Pseudomonadota; Gammaproteobacteria; Alteromonadales; Alteromonadaceae
Description: partial 16S rRNA
Rfam family: Bacterial small subunit ribosomal RNA
Source: RNAcentral
AACGCUGGCGGCAGGCCUAACACAUGCAAGUCGAACGGUAACAUUUCUAGCUUGCUAGAAGAUGACGAGUGGCGGACGGGUGAGUAAUACUUAGGAAUAUGCCUUUGUGUGGGGGAUAACUAUUGGAAACGAUAGCUAAUACCGCAUAACGUCUUCGGACCAAAGGGGGCUUCGGCUCCCGCGCAAAGAGUAGCCUAAGCGAGAUUAGCUUGUUGGUGAGGUAAAGGCUCACCAAGGCGACGAUCUCUAGCUGUUCUGAGAGGAAGAUCAGCCACACUGGAACUGAGACACGGUCCAG